AAAAUAAAUGCCUGUCAAACACCAACAAAACUGGAAUUGGCAGUAAAUCAAAACAUACCUAAUAUAUGGAUAAACUUCUGUAUACUGGUUGGACAAUUUUGAAAACCGCUAUUAAAAUCAUUGAAAAUGGAUCCGCUACGCUCAAAAUUGAUACUUUGAAAGACAACUCGUUAGAUGCUCCAAAAGUCCCAAGCAGAUUAAAAUCAGGAAGAUUUUUCUUUACUUUUGAAAAAUGAAUUCAGUACAAACGGAAAUUUCGGGGCGAAAAGAUUACUGUGAAUUGGAUACAGACUCAUACGAUGAUUCGCAAGCUGCCCCAAAUUUCGAUGUAGUUGAGGAGACUUGAUCGAGUUCUCAAACCUAAGAAUCAAGAAAAAAUCCAAAUGCAGGUAUCAUACGACGAUGCCAAUUUUGGUUUUACUUAGUGCGGUGAUUGUUUAUAGAUGCUAAAUUUUGUGGGUGGGCUUGUCUUUUCUUGUAACUGAUAGUUCCGCAAAGGAAUUGAACGAGAAUACUGAGGAAGACCCUGAUGUUAUCGAGAUGAUUCUGCCAUGGUUCGAUGAGAAAGUAUCAGAAAAGUUAUGAAACUGUUCAAAAAUGCAUUUUCUGUUUUAUUUAUUCUUUAUAAGACUUGAACUUUAUUUCAUGCGCACGCAUAAUUAUAGAAUAACGCAGUAAAGUUGUCAUUGUGUGUGUGUGAAAUGAGUUGUCUAAACUGGGUGUGUGUUUUGCUAUGGGACGAGGUGGUAUAAUUGAGAAACUAAAAGUGGAUCAAUGCAAAGUUUAUUUGAGGAAGCACAGCAGGCAAUAGAAAUACCCUUAUACAGCGGAUUAAGAAACAUCUCGAGUAAUUUUCUUCCUCUCUUAUAUUUGAACCUCGAAUUUAUUGGUUUGGUAUUUAUUUAUCUCCUUAUAAUAAUUAAUGCUUGUGUUAUUUUCAGUGUUGUUGAUGAUGGUGUGGAGAAAAAGUAAUCGGCCUCUCUUUUUGUUUUAAUUGCAGAGGUAGAACAUUUUAGCAUUUGUGCUUGGUGAUAUCCUUUCUUAUUUCAUUCCUUUGACUUCCAUAUUUGAAGUUUCAAUCAAUGUUCUAAUACUCAAUAUCCAUAUCCGGGUAGCAAGAAUCGAAAACCAGAACAAACGCAAGAAGUCAUCAGAUUCUAUACCAAUGAACCCAGAGAAACAAGAAAACCAACCUCAGAAGCAGCAGCAGGAGAGAGAAUGCUGCCCAUGAAGAGCAGUAGCAUUCCGCAGCAGCUAGAAAGUAUGCUUGGAAAACCGAAUAAUCUUUGGUGUUGGUCAUUUUAGAGAUAUAGAACAGUGAAUGCAGUGAUGAGACAACAAUGGAUGUGUUGAUCCUUCACGAUUUUUGUAGUGAGUUUCUUUGUUUUAUAGAAAUAAAGUUUCUUUACUGUUUUUAAUUACUUCGAUUUUCAGCCUUUUUACUUAGUCAAGUUCGUGUGUUUCAUCACUUGUGUAAGUGUAAAAUUCAUGUGUUGACUUGUUGGGGACGGGAAAAUUUGAUGCCAUCACAGCUCGUUGGAAAAACCCCUAAUGGCACUGAAGAGACAUGCACGACAGAAGGUAUUAGCCCCAGCCAAAAGGUAAGUUAGAAAGUGAGCACUGCAGCCAAGAGAGAAGAGAGAAAAGAAAGCACGCGUUCUUUACUAGCAUUGUGUAAAGAGGAAUAGCAGCAUCAAUACAAGUGCAGGAAGAUUACAGAAUGCAGAAAGUGCGUAUUCUUCUUCCAAGUUAGGCUGCAAUAACCCUUUUUUGUUUAUAGGUUGCAGGGAUUACCGUUUUGUUUUAUUGUCAGGUGUUUUGGCUUUUGUUAAUG
RNAcentral lists this long non-coding RNA (1834 nucleotides) under Olea europaea subsp. europaea. The record is from RNAcentral. Lineage: Eukaryota; Viridiplantae; Streptophyta; Magnoliopsida; Lamiales; Oleaceae.